AAUCGAAGCCGUUCACAGAUCCAGAACAUGCGUAGCUGAAUCCUUUUUGUUCACUUCGAGAUAUGACCGUACCUGAGCCUUCGAUCUUCACCCCGAGAGUUCUUCUCAAUCUGUUCUGGGCUAAGUCCUUCCAUUUGAUUGAACGAGUUGUAAGAUUAAAUGUUAGAAUUCAGAUUUGAACUGUUUGCUGUUAUCUGGAGUAGUGAGAUUAUUAGGAGCAAUAAUUGAUAAUCAUAUGUAAGCUCAAGUCGACGUUUACAUCCUCUGGUUGAACUGAUUCUGCAUCUGAAUUCUGAACCAAGUUUAGUUAUUGCUAUUGAUUUGAGUCAGUUAAAUUGAAUUGGACCGAGUUGGUCAUUAGUAGAGGAAUUGAAUUACUGAUUAUUACCCGGAGGCCGAAUCAAUUAAUACUUGCUGUGAAUUCUUUCGAGUUGAAUAUUCGCAUUGAGUAGGCUUACAAGUUGUGAGUCAAGCUGUUCUUCGAUCCACCAACCUCUGUUACUAAAUAGGCAAGGAGGGUACGGAUUAUCUCUAAGGGAACAUUCUCACCAUUUGUCUCAAGUGUUAUCAUUGUACUCAACUCUUUCCGUAAUCUACAAUUUCCUCUCUGAAUAUAAAAGCGAAACAUAUAAACAGUAGUUUAGCAUUAAAUCAGAAAUUUAUAGAAAUAUUUUUCCUCCGUUUACAAUCUUUAAUUUGUUAAUUUGUGGUUCUUUGGACCUUUUAGGAACUUUAGUAUCAUUCAGCUCCUUUGAGAUAUGACCUAGGCUAGAUUCUUACAGUACAGCAUUUUAGCUUGGUAAUUUUGUUAAGCACUACGACAUGCUUUUCAGUGUUCUGUUGCGAAGCCUGUGUCGAAGAGAGGACUAUGAUAUGGCAGAAAAGCUAUCACUGCUGGCAUUUUCUAUUGAAAAUCAUCAAAAUGUUGAUCUUGAUUUGUACAAUGCUGUUAUUUUGGGCGUUUAUAAAAGGAGCAAGGUUUCAGAAGCCUUUGGUUCAUGCUAUUUAUUGAUGGAGAAAGGCUUACAUCUGGAAUUGACAUGUCUAGAUGAACUAAUGUCCGCUCUAGAGGCUGAAGGAAGAUCAGAUGAAGCUGCAUUUAUAUCUAAGAGGAUGCAAAGGCAAGAAUUGUUAGGCAGCUCUUCACAAAAAUAGGGACUCAUUCUCACUGCUUCACAAAUAUGAUGCAAUAGCAGCAGCCCAUUAAUCGUUCUGUGCUUCAGACUUUUCAAGAUGAAAAUUCAUCGCCACCCCAAUCGAGCAUGAUGUGCAUUAGUAAGUUACCUUUCAUUCAUCAUUUGGAUUGAAAAUUGUCAUAAAAUAGUGAAUGGUUUCCUAUUCAUUCUAUUCCAAUCUUGUAAAAGUAGUAGGGUACGAGGCUGCUGAUCCUUUUGUUUGUUUUGCGAAGAGAGGCUAGAUCUCUUGAUUGUAUUUCCCAAAGCAUUGCAUGUAAGCAUUGCAAGUAAUGGCUCUUCAGUCCCAACAGAGAACGACUUAUAAUGCCUUUUGAAGUUAAUAUGCAUUGGUCCCUUCUCACUUUUCAAUGACCAUUAUCUGUUGUAAGUUGUAACCUCUCUCCUAAUUGCUACAAGGAAAUCAAGGUCAAGUUCACAGUGCAGGUGACCCUGAAUCCUCGUUGGAUGCUUCAGAUCAAGCAGCAUUGACAAACCUGAGUGAUGUACUACGACACCUUCCUGUUUUUGCAUUGAUCGUCUUUCAGAGGAUAUAUAAUAUUGAUUUGAAGUUGAUUUGAAGUGUGUCUGGUGUGACUCUGGUUUCAUACUGAACCAAUAUUGAACAAUGUGGUCGAGCUAGUAGCGAGGGCCUGGAGAAACUUUCAAGAGGUCUUACAUCUGAAACUUCGUAUCAUCAUUGCUCAGGAAAGACUAGCUUGCUUACUUUGUUCGUGCGCAAAGAAGGCCCGUUGAAGUGCAGGUGAAAAAAGUUGAGUUGAUGGUCUUUUAACUUUGUGAAAGGAUGUAAAGGGAAACUAAGAAGAGCACUUAAAGAAAUUAUAGAAUGAGAUGUUAUGAUGAAUGAGAUAUUAAAGUUUAGCAGCGUUGUGCUAUCCAUCUAGUUGAGUUAAUGAGAUAAAGUUGCUUGUUCUUCUUGUUAAA
Molecule: long non-coding RNA, 2117 nt
Organism: Neltuma alba
Lineage: Eukaryota; Viridiplantae; Streptophyta; Magnoliopsida; Fabales; Fabaceae
Exons: 2
Source: RefSeq, a predicted model, not a curated record